ACUUGAAUAGCUUAUUAUUUAGAGCGCGACACUGAAGAUGUCGAUGAGGUAAUUAAUACCUUUGGGUA
RNAcentral lists this transfer RNA (68 nucleotides) under Cornitermes sp. CD-2014. Its description in RNAcentral is "tRNA-Phe". RNAcentral also lists the same sequence under 1 other name. The record is from RNAcentral. Lineage: Eukaryota; Metazoa; Arthropoda; Insecta; Blattodea; Termitidae.